Molecule: ribosomal RNA, 253 nt
Filed under: uncultured bacterium
Lineage: Bacteria
Description: partial 16S ribosomal RNA
Rfam family: Bacterial small subunit ribosomal RNA
Source: RNAcentral
UACGGACGGGGCAAGCGUUGCUCGGAAUCAUUGGGCGUAAAGGGCGCGUAGGUGGUUCUGUAUGUCUACCGUGAAAGCGUACGGCUCAACUGUAUUUUGUCGGUAGAAACUGCAGGACUUGAGGCUGGGAGGGGCUGGUGGAAUUCCCUGUGUAGCGGUGAAAUGCGUAGAGAUGGGGGAGAACACUCGUGGCGAAGGCGGCCAGCUAGACCAGUUCUGACACUGAGGCGCGACAGCGUGGGGAGCAAACAGG